This 274-nucleotide ribosomal RNA is filed under the name uncultured bacterium. RNAcentral's name for it is "partial 16S ribosomal RNA". It matches the Rfam family "Bacterial small subunit ribosomal RNA", at positions 523 to 796 of the family's 1533-position model. The record is from RNAcentral.
AUACGGAGGGUGCAAGCGUUGUCCGGAUUUAUUGGGUUUAAAGGGUGCGUAGGUGGUUUUUUAAGUCAGUGGUGAAAGCCUACAGCUUAACUGUAGAGGUGCCAUUGAUACUGGGGAACUUGAGUAUGGACGAGGUAGGCGGAAUUUGUGGUGUAGCGGUGAAAUGCAUAGAUACCACAAGGAACACCGAUAGCGAAGGCAGCUUACUGGGCCAUACCUGACACUGAGGCACGAAAGCGUGGGGAGCGAACAGGAUUAGAUACCCUAGUAGUCC